GACGAACGCUGGCGGCGUGCCUAAUACAUGCAAGUCGAACGAGAGCGACCGGUGCUUGCACUGGUCAAUCUAGUGGCGAACGGGUGAGUAACACGUGGGUAACCUGCCCAUCAGAGGGGGAUAACAUCCGGAAACGGAUGCUAAAACCGCAUAGGUCUUCGAACCGCAUGGUUUGAAGAGGAAAAGAGGCGCAAGCUUCUGCUGAUGGAUGGACCCGCGGUGCAUUAGCUAGUUGGUGAGGUAACGGCUCACCAAGGCCGUGAUGCAUAGCCGACCUGAGAGGGUGAUCGGCCACAUUGGGACUGAGACACGGACCAAACUCCGACGGGAGGCAGCAGUAGGGAAUCUUCCGCAAUGGGCGAAAGUCUGACGGAGCAACGCCGCGUGAGUGAAGAAGGUUUUCGGAUCGUAAAACUCUGUUAUUAGAGAAGAACAAAUGUGAGAGUAACUAUUCGCGCCUUGACGGUAUCUAAUCAGAAAGCCACGGCUAACUACGUG
Molecule: ribosomal RNA, 498 nt
Filed under: uncultured bacterium
Lineage: Bacteria
Description: partial 16S ribosomal RNA
Rfam family: Bacterial small subunit ribosomal RNA
Source: RNAcentral